UCUUUGAUCACCUCAAAGAACCAUCUACACAAAAAUUUUACAGACCCCAUCUCUUAUGUGCACAAGUUUGUAUGCACAGGAGUGUGGAACCAGUGGCAAGUUCUGAGAUCUCACUGCUCUCUCAGUGCCACAGCAGCAGACAGCAGGAGGGACAGUGACAGUCAUCUCCAGGCCCCAAGAGAUUCAGAGCUGCCAGCACCCAUCAUGACCCUAGGAGAAGGUAAAAUCUUGUAACUGGGCUUUUUUUGGUUUUCAGCAAUUCCCUGUGCAGCUCCUGGGGUUCCCAUCUUGGUGUGUGCCAUCUGGGAGCAGCAAGAGCCAUGAGCUUCUGCAGCAUGAGAAAAAUAGCCCUGGGUAGGCUGGGAAAGCACCUGGAAAUAAAACAACAUCAUGCUCAUAGUAAAUAAUUCA
RNAcentral lists this long non-coding RNA (411 nucleotides) under Cyanistes caeruleus (blue tit). RNAcentral's name for it is "lncRNA (ENSCCEG00000012118.1)". The record is from RNAcentral. Lineage: Eukaryota; Metazoa; Chordata; Aves; Passeriformes; Paridae.